Molecule: ribosomal RNA, 253 nt
Filed under: uncultured bacterium
Lineage: Bacteria
Description: partial 16S ribosomal RNA
Rfam family: Bacterial small subunit ribosomal RNA
Source: RNAcentral
UACGUAGGGUGCAAGCGUUAAUCGGAAUUACUGGGCGUAAAGCGUGCGCAGGCGGUUUUCUAAGUCUGACGUGAAAUCCCCGGGCUCAACCUGGGAAUUGCGUUGGAGACUGCAAGGCUAGAAUCUGGCAGAGGGGGGUAGAAUUCCACGUGUAGCAGUGAAAUGCGUAGAGAUGUGGAGGAACACCGAUGGCGAAGGCAGCCCCCUGGGUCAAGAUUGACGCUCAUGCACGAAAGCGUGGGGAGCAAACAGG